GACCUACAACCUUGUCUGAGCCCAUCUCCCAUUUUGGUGGUGACGUAGACAGGAUGGGGGCCUUACUGAGCAGCUCUGACAGCCAUUUGGGUUUCCCACAGAUUGAGAUAUUUCAGUCGGGUCAGACCCAGGAGCGAAUUGUAAGCCACAGCUUCUAUCCUGUUUUUCUCCAAAUAGACAUGGGUCAAAUUCUCCAUCCCUCGUAUAGCUCCUGGAAUCCUUCGGAAGUUGUUCUGAAAGCAAAAGAGUUCCUGAAGGGCCGGAAGCUCUAUAAAAAUCCUGUCUGGAAUGUUGAAAAGGUUGCAGUCCGCCAAAUCCAGUCUGACUAGUCUCUUGAGCGAAAUGAAAGUCCUAGUGUGCAGGGUCAUUUUUCAAAAAAAAAUCACUUAGAGUGGAGAGGAGAUCAAAGAAUACCAACA
Molecule: long non-coding RNA, 419 nt
Organism: Varanus komodoensis (Komodo dragon)
Lineage: Eukaryota; Metazoa; Chordata; Lepidosauria; Squamata; Varanidae
Exons: 3
Source: RefSeq, a predicted model, not a curated record